This is an RNA transcript of Phalaenopsis equestris, 1854 nucleotides long. It is a transcript of the gene named RNA-binding protein with multiple splicing, with no coding region annotated. The record is from RefSeq and is a predicted model, not a curated record. NCBI's taxonomy places the organism in Eukaryota, Viridiplantae, Streptophyta, Magnoliopsida, Asparagales, Orchidaceae. The transcript is spliced from 11 exons.
CGAACCGGAAUCGGUCUAUGUGAGAACGAUCAGCAAGGCUCCGCCCUAAUAAACCUUCUGUCUAAUCCGGCGCAAGGGUUUACCUGCGGCUGCCUCUAGAGAACCCGCCUGUGCCUCAGCGGAAAGAGCGAGUUAGGGUUUAAUCCUCAUGUCUGGCCCCGGCUUGCAUCACUUCCAGCAGCAAUGGGCUCCGCUUCAGCCCCCGCAGCCAUCAAUCUCUACUCCUUCAGCCAUCACCGUGGAAUUCCCUGUCCGCCCGACCUCUGAAGAGGUUCGGACGAUCUUCAUUGCUGGCUUUCCUGCCGACGUGAAGGAGAGGGAGCUUCAUAACCUUCUGCGCUGGCUCCCUGGUUUUGAGGCUUCUCAGAUUAAUAUGAAAGGGGAUCAGCCAAUGGGUUUCGCUCUAUUCUCAACUGCCCAGCAUGCUGUUGCCGCUAAAACUGCACUCCAGGACUUGGUGUUUGAUUCGGCGACAAAUUCAACUCUUCAUAUAGAGAUGGCUAAGAAAAAUCUUUUUGUUAAGAGAGGCAUGGGAGCUGAUUUCAGCUCCUUAGACCAAAGCAAACGCAUAAGAACUGGUGGAGAGUAUGCUCAAUCUGGUUAUCCAAGUCCUCCCUUCCCCCCACAGACUCCUUCCCUUUGGACAACAUCAGGGUAUAUGGCUCCUCCUGUUCUGUAUGCCCCAUAUGGAGGCUAUCCAGUUACUCAGGUGGCUUUACCUACCCCUGUUUCUGUGCCAGCUCCAACUGUCUAUGCCCCUGUUCAGAAUACAAAAGACAAUCCUCCUUGUAAUACUCUGUUUGUUGGAAAUCUUGGAGAAAAUGUGACAGAGGAAGAACUGAGAGGCCUCUUUAGCGCACAACCAGGUUAUAAACAAAUGAAGAUCUUGCGUCAUGAUAGAAGCACUGUGUGCUUUAUUGAAUUCGAUGAUGUAGCUAGUGCUACGGGUGUUCACAUAAAACUACAAGGUGCUGUUCUACCCAGUGCAGGUCACACUGGCAUCAGGAUCCAGUUUUCAAAAAAUCCCUUUGGGCGACGGAAGGACUUGAAUGGCACUCCUGCAGAAACCAAAGGAUCAACUUAGCUGUCAAUUGAAGCAACGUGCUGCUCUUUGUGCUUUCCCAUGAAGGCUAACAAUUCCAUAAACCAGAAGUAUUUGCUGGUUUGAAUUGUGCAGAAUUAUUUUAGGUGAUGAUGUUGAUCAAAGAUUGAUCACUGGAGCCCGCAGGCACUUCUCCGAAAUUUCCUCAACUUGGUACUAUUUCAUGUGAAAGUGCUCUCUAUUUUGUGCGGUGGUGUUACAAGAAUAGAAGUUCAGCAUGUUUUUUUGCCGCUUAUACAUCUUAAAAGCAGGCAAAAUUUUGUCUCGCAAGUAAAGAGCAAUGGAGCUGAUAAAUGUAGCAACAAAUGGGGUACUUGAGCCACUUGGGUUCUUCUAAGGAGCACUGGAGCAGAAGAUCAUGCUUGCUUAACUUCCCAAGAGGCAUUUCAACCAAACUAUUUCUUCUGAGGCCCUCCUGUAUCAAAGAGAUGGAGGAUACCACAACAAUCUCAACAAACGAUGAAUUGGCGAGCCGAGAAAAUAAUUGAAUACAAACAGAACCUAUUUUUGCAACAUUGUAGCAGCAAAAUGGGUUUCUCAUCCUUUCUUUUCUUUUUCUAUAUUGACGACAAGAACAGCACACCUGUUUCGAAGAAGCGCAUUAACUACGCUCAUCGAAAAGAAGCAUUCAUUUACAACAUGUACCUAUUGGUUGUGAACUUAGCCUUUCGGAGGGCUUAAAUUUGAGCAUCAAUGCUAAUAAAGAGGAAGCAUUAGUUCUUACUUUGAUGAUAAUAAAAAUGAAUGAAUCA